RNAcentral lists this long non-coding RNA (5330 nucleotides) under Malus domestica (apple). Its description in RNAcentral is "long non-coding RNA (MDOM_LNC016931)". The record is from RNAcentral. Lineage: Eukaryota; Viridiplantae; Streptophyta; Magnoliopsida; Rosales; Rosaceae.
CCCAUUUUGUGUACGUGUUGAUGCUUCACCGCCCAACCUUCUGUGCCAUACAGCAUCGCCGGCCUUAUUGCCGUCCUAUAAAAUUUUCCCUUGAGCUUUAGUGGCCUACUACGGUCACACAACACGCCGGAUGCACUCUUCCACUUCAUCUAUCCAGCUUGUAUUCUAUGGUUGAGAUCUCCAUCUAAUUCUCCGUUCUUUUGCAAGAUAGAUCCUAAGUAGCGAAAAUGGUCGCUCUUUGGUAUUUCCUGAUCUCCGAUCCUCACCCCUAAUUCAUUUUGGCCUCCAUUUGCACUGAACUUGCACUCCAUAUAUUCUGUCUUUGAUCGGCUUAGGCGAAGACCUUUAGAUUCCAACAUUUCUCUCCAAAGGUUAAGCUUCGCAUUUACCCCUCCUGAGUUUCAUCUAUCAACACUAUAUCGUUUGCGAAAAGCAUACACCAAGGAAUAUCAUCUUGAAUAUGUCCUGUUAACUCAUCCAUUACCAACGCAAAAAGGUAAGGACUUAAGGAUUGUUGAUGCACAAAAUCAGUGAGGACUUUGGUACAACAGAAAGUAUUAAGUUUGUGAUCUUUGCUAGAUUGCUCUGGUCAUUAGUGUGGAUAAGUAUGUAAAUGGAUAGAGACAUGAAAGCAAACACAAGAUGUACAUGGUUCACCCAGAUUGGCUACAUCCACGGAGUAGAGGAGUUCUCAUUAAUUGUGAAGGGUUUACACAAGUAUAUAGGUUCAAGCUCUCAUUUAGUGAGUACAAGUGAAUGAUUUAGUACAAAUGACAUAGGUUCAAGCUCUCGUCUUCACUUGCCUUAUCUGUCUCAUAGGUAGAUGUGGCAUCUUCUCUGGAAGUACUCUUCCUCCAUCCAAGGGUGGUAUCUUUAACUGGUGGAGAUGCACAAGGUAAUGUAUCAAUUUCACAUGAAGCUUACUUGUAGUUUCAGGCUUGGUCAAGCGCGAUACAAACCAUGUAGUAGGAGUCCCCCAAGUCGCUGAGCUAGGGGAUCUGCUGAAAGAGGCGACAGACAAGGUAAGCAAUCAGAGCUCCAAGAAAUCAGUCCCAGAUCAGAAGUUUGAUUUCGAGUUUCGGCUGAUUGUUCUCAUUCUCCUUAUCUUGCAGGCAGCAUGAAGGAUAAAGAGAAGAAAGAUGAUAUGAGAUACUUUUGCUUUUGAAGAAGUAACUUUCCACAGGCUUAUUCUUGAACUGGGCUGGAGGAUUUUCUGGUUUCCUCCAGAGUAUAAGGCCGACUGAAGAAUUUGAGGGUUAAAACAAGUCCAUCAAAUCUAGAGUACGUUUGACUCUGCUGAUAUGGGAUACUUUUGCUGUUGACAAAGUAGUGGAUGUAUCGGCACGUGUUCUGUUACGCUUGUCUCCACAUGUUUUCUUGUAUCCUUCUCAUUUUCCCUAUCUGUUCCUUAGGCAGAUGUUGUAUCUUCUCUGGAAGCAUAAGAUGUUGAAGAUGAGUACUCGAGAGCAAUGCCAGGUAAGUAAUCAGGUAAGGGGUUCCAGGCAGUCAGUUCCUGACUAGAAGCUUGAUUUCAAGUGCUGACUGAUUACUCUCUUUCUCCUUGUCUUGCAGGUAAGAACAAGGCCAAAGGAAAAGACAGGGAAAAAGCAUGAUAUGGGAUACUUUUGCAUUUAACCCUGAUGAUAUGAGAUAUUCUUGCUCUGGUGUAGCUUGUUUGCAGAGAGAUUAUCGGGGGGAAAGAAAGCUGAGUAUUUCGAGAGGCUUCGUUGGGAGUGCCCUCUCAGAUAUGAGGAAGGGUUGAGCAUUUUUGCAGGUCUGCCUGUCCGUUGAGGAUGGAGGUCGACAUAUAUAGGAGUUUCCCUAUCAACAAGUAGUAAUGCUAUUCCUUUACCCUGCUUGGUCAUAGCACGGUAGUGGGAGCUGCCAGCUUCACAUGUGUCAGAGCACUUUGAAAAAGUGGUCUGUGGUAUCUGGAAAGCUGAUGUUGCGUGUGAAGAUUACAGACAAACUUUAUCCAAGGAGAUCUGACUCUCGAAGUUGAGAAAGCGGUGCCUCUUUGGUUUUCGAACAAGCAAUCCUGUCGGGGAUUUGGCUCUCGAGAUUCGGAGAACGGUGCCUCUUCAAUUUUUUAGAGAGCAAUCAUGCUGGGAGUCUGGCUCUCGAGAUUCGGAUAGCCAUGUCUCUUCGAUUUUUGAGAAAGUAAUCAUGUUAGGAGUCUGGCUCUUGAGAUUCGGAGGACGGUGCCUCUUCGAUUUUGGAGUAAGCAAUCUUGUUGGGAGUGUUUUCUCGAAUGUGAGUAAAGGUUGGGCAUGUUUGCUAGUCUACCUUGCCACGGAGCAUAGAGGUUGACACAUAGGGACUUUCCAAUUAUCCAGCAGUGGUGCUGUUUCUUUACCCUUGUGGGUAAUAAUAUGGUAGCUAGACCUUCAAAAUUUAUGUGUCUAAACUUUGUUAGUGCUGUUUCUUUGCUAUUCUUUUACCCUUCUUGGUCAUAGCGAUGUAGUGGGAGCUGCAAGCUUCACGUGUCUAAACUUUGUCAGAGAUCUUUGGCAAAGUUAUCUGUGGUACCCAUGAGCUGAUGGUGCGUGUGGAAAGUGGAUGAUUGAACAGUAAGAUUCACGUGCUUUCUACUUCACCAGAAAUCUUCAAUAGAAUGCCCGUAAUUUCAGCAAAGCUGAGUGUGCAUGUGACAGGUGCUGACAAGGCUGAGAAAAGCAGGUGCCUCUUCGAUUUCUAAGAUCGGCCCUCGUGGUCUCUGAGCAGCCUAGCUUUUGAGAAAGCAAACACCUCUUCGAUUUCUGAGAUCGGCCUUCAUGGUCUUUGAGCAGCCUAGCUUUUGAGAAAGCAAACACCUAUUCGAUUUUUGAGAUCGGCCCUCAUGGUCUUUGAGCAGCCCAGCUUUUGAGAAAGCAAACGCCUCUUCGAUUUCUGGGCAGGUGCCUCUUCGAUUUCUGAAGCUCCGUCGAGUGCAGAUUUUUAUAGAGGUUGGCAUUAAGUUCCAAAGCACACUUGAAUCUUCACCGGUAGAAGCUUCCUUCUUGCACUUCUAAGAUCUUGAUUUGUCCGACCUUUUCUCUCUUCAACACCUUUGAAAAUGUCUGGCCCCUCCGACCGUCGUUUUGACUUGAACCUUGUUGAAAAGGCAGCCAUGCCUUCUUCAGACAACAUAUGGCACCCAUCCUUCUUAUCCCCUACUGGUCCUCUUACCGUUGGGGAUUCCGUGAUGAAGAAUGAUAUGACUGCUGCGGUGGUGGCCAGGAACCUUCUCACUCCCAAAGAUAACAGACUACUUUCCAAACGGUCUAAUGAGUUGGCUGUUAAGGAUUCUCUGGCUCUAAGUGUUCUGUGUGCAGGUUCUGUGUCUAAUAUGGCCCAACGCCUAUUUGCUCGAACCCGCCAAGUUGAAUCAUUGGCGGCUGAAGUGAUGAGUCUCAAACAGGAGAUUAGAGGGCUCAAGCAUGAGAAUAAACAGUUGCACCGGCUCGCACAUGACUAUGCUACAAACAUGAAGAGAAAGCUUGACCAGAUGAAGGAAUCUGAUGGUCAGGUUUUACUUGAUCAUCAGCGGUUUGUGGGUUUGUUCCAAAGGCAUUUAUUGCCUUCGUCUUCUGGGGCUGUACCGCGUAAUGAAGCUCCAAAUGAUCAACCUCUGAUGCCUCCUCCUUCUAGGGUUCUGUCCAGUACUGAGGCUCCGAAUGAUCCCCCUCCGGUGCCUUCUCUUUCUGGGGCUCUACCGACUACUGAGACUUCUCCUAAGCAACCUUUGUGAAGGCUCCCUCUUGUUUGUUUAUUUUGACUCAUGUAUAUGUACAUAUUUGUACCUUAUCGGAGAUAUCAAUAAAUAAGCUUUGCUUCAUUUCAACGUAUUGUGUUAAAUACACCAAAGCCUUCUUCAUUGAGUGGGGUCGGCUAUAUGAAUCUUAGAACGCCAUUGUGCUCGGUCCUGUGUCAUGUCCUCCGUUAGAUCCAAAUACUCUAAGUCUUUUCUUAGAGUCUCUUCCAAAGUUUUCCUAGGUCUUCCUCUACCCCUUCGGCCCUGAACCUCUGUCCCGUAGUCGCAUCUUCUAACCGGAGCGUCAGUAGGCCUUCUUUGCACAUGUCAAAACCAUCGUAACCGAUUUUCUCUCAAUUUUCCUACAAUUUCGGCUACUCCUACUUUACCUCGGAUAUCCUCAUUCCUAAUCUUAUCCUUUCUCGUGUGCCCACACAUCCAACGAAGCAUCCUCAUCUCCGCUACACCCGUUUUGUGUACGUGUUAAUGCUUCACCGCCCAACAUUCUGUGCCAUACAGCAUCGCCGGCCUUAUUGCCGUCCUAUAAAAUUUUCCCUUGAGCUUCAGUGGCAUACGACGGUCACACAACAUGCCGGAUGCAUUCUUCCACUUCAUCCAUCCAGCUUGUAUUCUAUGGUUGAGAUCUCCAUCUAAUUCUCUGUUCUUUUGCAAGAUAGAUCCUAAGUAGCGAAAACGAUCGCUCUUUGGUAUUUCCUGAUCUCCGUCCUCACCCCUAACUCAUUUUGGCCUCCAUUUGCACUGAACUUGCACUUCAUAUAUUCUGUCUUUGAUCGGCUUAGGCGAAGAUCUUUAGAUUCCAACAUUUCUCUCCAAAGGUUAAGCUUCGCAUUUACCCCUUCCUGAGUUUCAUCUAUCAACACUAUAUCGUUUGCGAAAAGCAUACACCAAGGAAUAUCAUCUUGAAUAUGUCAUGUUAACUCAUUCAUUACCAACGCAAAAAGGUAAGGACUUAAGGAUGAGCCUUGAUGUAAUCCUACAGUUAUGGGGAAGCUUUCGGUUUGUCCUUCAUGAGUUCUUACGGCAGUCUUUGCUCCUUCAUACAUAUCCUUUAUAGCUUGGAUAUAUGCUACUUGUACUCCUUUCUUCUCUAAAAUCCUCCAAAGAAUGUCUCUUGGGACCCUAUCAUACGCUUUUUCAAAUCUAUAAAGACCAUGUGUAAAUCCUUUUUCCCAUCUCUAUAUCUUUCCAUCAAUCUUCGUGAGAGAUAGAUUGCCUCCAUGGUUGAGCGCCCUGGCAUGAACCCGAAUUGGUUGUCCGAAACCCGUGUCUCUUGCCUCAAUCUAUGCUCAAUGACUCUCUCCCAGAGCUUCAUUGUAUGACUCAUUAGCUUAAUACCCCUAUAGUUCAUGCAAUUUUAUACGUCGCCCUUAUUCUUGUAGAUAGGCACCAAAGUGCUCUUUCGCCACUCAUUUGGCAUCUUCUUCGUUUUCAAAAUCCUAUUGAAAAGGUCAAUGAGCCAUGCUAUACCUGUCUCUCCCAAGACUUUCCACACUUCGAUCGGUAUAUCGUCUGGGCCCACUGCUUUUCUAUGUUUCAUCUUCUUCAAAGCUACAACCACUUCUUCCUUCCUGAUUCG